GAUGAACGCUGGCGGCGUGCCUAAUACAUGCAAGUCGAGCGAACAGAUAAGGAGCUUGCUCCUUUGACGUUAGCGGCGGACGGGUGAGUAACACGUGGAUAACCUACCUAUAAGACUGGGAUAACUUCGGGAAACCGGAGCUAAUACCGGAUAACAUAUUGAACCGCAUGGUUCAAUAGUGAAAGGCGGCUUUGCUGUCACUUAUAGAUGGAUCCGCGCCGUAUUAGCUAGUUGUUAAGGUAACGGCUUACCAAGGCAACGAUACGUAGCCGACCUGAGAGGGUGAUCGGCCACACUGGAACUGAGACACGGUCCAGACUCCUACGAGAGGCAGCAGUAGGGAAUCUUCCGCAAUGGGCGAAAGCCUGACGGAGCAACGCCGCGUGAGUGAUGAAGGUCUUCGGAUCGUAAAACUCUGUUAUCAGGGAAGAACAAAUGUGUAAGUAACUGUGCACAUCUUGACGGUACCUGAUCAGAAAGCCACGGCUAACUACGUG
RNAcentral lists this ribosomal RNA (497 nucleotides) under uncultured bacterium. RNAcentral describes it as "partial 16S ribosomal RNA". It matches the Rfam family "Bacterial small subunit ribosomal RNA", at positions 28 to 507 of the family's 1533-position model. The record is from RNAcentral.